AGGACGAACGCUGGCGGCGUGCUUAACACAUGCAAGUCGAGCGGAAAGGCCCUUCGGGGUACUCGAGCGGCGAACGGGUGAGUAACACGUGAGCAAUCUGCCCUUAGCUUCGGGAUAGCCCCGGGAAACCGGGAUUAAUACCGAAUAUGACCUCGGCCGACAUCGGCUUUGGUGGAAAGUUUUUCGGCUAGGGAUGAACUCGCGGCCUAUCAGCUUGUUGGUGGGGUAAUGGCCUACCAAGGCGACGACGGGUAGCCGGCCUGAGAGGGCGACCGGCCACACUGGGACUGAGACACGGCCCAGACUCCUACGGGAGGCAGCAGUGGGGAAUAUUGCGCAAUGGGCGAAAGCCUGACGCAGCGACGCCGCGUGGGGGAUGAAGGCUUUCGGGUUGUAAACCCCUUUCAGCAGGGACGAAGCGAGAGUGACGGUACCUGCAGAAGAAGCGCCGGCUAACUACGUGCCAGCAGCCGC
RNAcentral lists this ribosomal RNA (474 nucleotides) under uncultured bacterium. Its description in RNAcentral is "SSU rRNA". It matches the Rfam family "Bacterial small subunit ribosomal RNA", at positions 26 to 518 of the family's 1533-position model. The record is from RNAcentral.